AUUGAACGCUGGCGGCAUGCCUUACACAUGCAAGUCGAACGGACGCGGGGGAGAAGCUUGCUUUUCCUGCCGGCGAGUGGCGAACGGGUGAGUAAUACAUCGGAACGUGCCCUGUAGUGGGGGAUAACUAGUCGAAUGAUUAGCUCAUACGGCAUACUACCUGAGGGUUAAAGUUGGGGACCGCACUGCCACAGGGUGUAGGAGCGGCCGAAGUCCGAUUAGCGAGUUGGUGGGGUAAAGGCCUACCAAGGCGACGAUCAGUAGCUGGGCUGAGAGGACGAUCAGCCACACUGGGACUGGGACACGGCCCAGACUCCUACGGGAGGCAGCAGUGGGGAAUUUUGGACAAUGGGCGAAAGCCUGAUCCAGCAAUGCCGCGUGUGUGAAGAAGGCCUUCGGGUUGUAAAGCACUUUUGUCCGGAAAGAAAUGGCUCUGGUUAAUACCUGGGGUCGAUGACGGUACCGGAAGAAUAAGGACCGGCUAACUACGUGCCAGCCGCCGCAGUAA
RNAcentral lists this ribosomal RNA (508 nucleotides) under uncultured bacterium. RNAcentral's name for it is "partial 16S ribosomal RNA". It matches the Rfam family "Bacterial small subunit ribosomal RNA", at positions 30 to 523 of the family's 1533-position model. The record is from RNAcentral.